UGGGGAAUAUUGGACAAUGGGCGCAAGCCUGAUCCAGCCAUGCCGCGUGUGUGAAGAAGGCCUUAUGGUUGUAAAGCACUUUAAGCGAGGAGGAGGCUACUUUAGUUAAUACCUAGAGAUAGUGGACGUUACUCGCAGAAUAAGCACCGGCUAACUCUGUGCCAGCAGCCGCGGUAAUACAGAGGGUGCAAGCGUUAAUCGGAUUUACUGGGCGUAAAGCGCGCGUAGGCGGCUAAUUAAGUCAAAUGUGAAAUCCCGAGCUUAACUUGGGAAUUGCAUUCGAUACUGGUUAGCUAGAGUGUGGGAGAGGAUGGUAGAAUUCCAGGUGUAGCGGUGAAAUGCGUAGAGAUCUGGAGGAAUACCGAUGGCGAAGGCAGCCAUCUGGCCUAACACUGACGCUGAGGUGCGAAAGCAU
Molecule: ribosomal RNA, 415 nt
Filed under: uncultured bacterium
Lineage: Bacteria
Description: partial 16S ribosomal RNA
Rfam family: Bacterial small subunit ribosomal RNA
Source: RNAcentral